Molecule: ribosomal RNA, 533 nt
Filed under: Lachnospiraceae bacterium oral taxon 373
Lineage: Bacteria; Bacillati; Bacillota; Clostridia; Lachnospirales; Lachnospiraceae
Description: bacterial SSU rRNA
Rfam family: Bacterial small subunit ribosomal RNA
Source: RNAcentral
CUGAUGCGGCGACGCCGCGUGAGUGAAGAAGUAUUUCGGUAUGUGAAAGCUCUAUCAGCAGGGAAGAAGAUGACGGUACCUGAGUAAGAAGCCCCGGCUAACUACGUGCCAGCCGCCGCGGUAAUACGUAGGGGGCAAGCGUUAUCCGGAUUUACUGGGUGUAAAGGGAGCGCAGACGGCAGCGUAAGUCUGAAGUGAAAGCCCGCGGCUUAACCGCGGGACUGCUUUGGAAACUACGCGGCUUGAGUGUCGGAGGGGCAGGCGGAAUUCCUGGUGUAGCGGUGAAAUGCGUAGAUAUCAGGAAGAACACCGGUGGCGAAGGCGGCCUGCUGGACGACAACUGACGUUGAGGCUCGAAAGCGUGGGGAGCGAACAGGAUUAGAUACCCUGGUAGUCCACGCGGUAAACGAUGAAUACCAGUGUCGGCGCCAAAGGGAGUCGGUGCCGUCGCAAACGCAGUAAGUAUUCCACCUGGGGAGUACGUGCGCAAGACUGAAACUCAAAGGAAUUGACGGGGACCCGCACAAGCAGUG